GACGAACCGUCCAAACGUUAUUCGGAAUCACUGGGCUUAAAGGGUGCGUAGGCGGCGCGGAAAGUUGGGUGUGAAAUCCCACGGCUCAACCGUGGAACUGCUGGGUAUACUGGCGAUCUUGAGCCACCUAGGGGCGAGCGGAACAAACGGUGGAGCGGUGAAAUGCGUAGAUAUCAUUUGGAACGCCAAUGGUGAAAACAGGUAGCUGGGAGUGUGCUGACGCUGAGACACGAAAGCCAGGGGAGCGAACGGG
This 253-nucleotide ribosomal RNA is filed under the name uncultured bacterium. RNAcentral's name for it is "partial 16S ribosomal RNA". It matches the Rfam family "Bacterial small subunit ribosomal RNA", at positions 524 to 776 of the family's 1533-position model. The record is from RNAcentral.